UGGGGAAUAUUGGACAAUGGGCGAAAGCCUGAUCCAGCCAUGCCGCGUGUGUGAAGAAGGUCUUCGGAUUGUAAAGCACUUUAAGUUGGGAGGAAGGGCAUUAACCUAAUACGUUAGUGUUUUGACGUUACCGACAGAAUAAGCACCGGCUAACUCUGUGCCAGCAGCCGCGGUAAUACAGAGGGUGCAAGCGUUAAUCGGAAUUACUGGGCGUAAAGCGCGCGUAGGUGGUUUGUUAAGUUGGAUGUGAAAUCCCCGGGCUCAACCUGGGAACUGCAUUCAAAACUGACUGACUAGUGUAUGGUAGAGGGUGGUGGAAUUUCCUGUGUAGCGGUGAAAUGCAUAGAUAUAGGAAGGAACACCAGUGGCGAAGGCGACCACCUGGACUAAUACUGACACUGAGGUGCGAAAGCGUGGGGAGCAAACA
RNAcentral lists this ribosomal RNA (427 nucleotides) under uncultured bacterium. RNAcentral describes it as "partial 16S ribosomal RNA". It matches the Rfam family "Bacterial small subunit ribosomal RNA", at positions 355 to 774 of the family's 1533-position model. The record is from RNAcentral.